RNAcentral lists this ribosomal RNA (435 nucleotides) under uncultured Flavobacterium sp. Its description in RNAcentral is "bacterial SSU rRNA". It matches the Rfam family "Bacterial small subunit ribosomal RNA", at positions 358 to 790 of the family's 1533-position model. The record is from RNAcentral. Lineage: Bacteria; Pseudomonadati; Bacteroidota; Flavobacteriia; Flavobacteriales; Flavobacteriaceae.
GGAAUAUUGGUCAAUGGAGGCAACUCUGAACCAGCCAUGCCGCGUGCAGGAUGACGGUCCUAUGGAUUGUAAACUGCUUUUGUACAGGAAGAAACCGCUCUACGUGUAGAGCCUUGACGGUACUGUAAGAAUAAGGAUCGGCUAACUCCGUGCCAGCAGCCGCGGUAAUACGGAGGAUCCAAGCGUUAUCCGGAAUCAUUGGGUUUAAAGGGUCCGUAGGCGGCUUAGCAAGUCAGUGGUGAAAUCUCCCCGCUCAACGGGGAAACGGCCAUUGAUACUACUAGGCUUGAAUUAUUAGGAAGUAACUAGAAUAUGUAGUGUAGCGGUGAAAUGCUUAGAUAUUACAUGGAAUACCAAUUGCGAAGGCAGGUUACUACUAAUUGAUUGACGCUGAUGGACGAAAGCGUGGGGAGCGAACAGGAUUAGAUACCCUUG